CACUUACUUAGCUAGCAAAUGCAGCUAUCUAGUUUAGUUACUCAAACACCCGACUCAAACAGAGGGAUGCUAUGUUAAGUAGAUGGCUAUGACUAUCCAAUACAACACUGGAACUCUUCCAAGUCAAGAGAAACAGCUGUCCCUGCUUCUCAGAAACACCUGAGCUGCCAGACAGGACGUUGCUGGAAAAAGGACUGACUGAUUACUAAUGGGAAAAAGAAAAAACAAGAAAAUAAGAAGGUGCUAUUCGCUGAAACAGACCCCUAGCUGAUCAGCCCAAAACUCCACAAUGUAUUCAAGAUCAUAAGGAACUGUCGCACACUGAGACUGAUGUCAGAGACAUCAAAGCUUUGUGUUUAUCUGCUUUGAUGAGAAGGUCAUCAUUUGAUCCAUGAAAGGGGUGCGAGCAUAUAAAGGGUUGAUUGUUGCUCUUCAUUUUUAGACAGAGACUGAACACAUCAAACACUUUUGCAUUUGAAGACAUACUGUACAUUUUACGUUACAUCAUAUAACAUGUCACAAAGUAUCAACAUGACUGAAGGAGGCUACAUUUACAUGAACAUGUCACAUACAACUGUGUAUGUUCCAAUGACGCAUAUGUAUGCGACCAUAUACGUAGAAUAAAUGAAAAUCAGACAGCUGAGGUCUAAUUAUGUCUACCUAUAGCUUAGAAUGGUGUGACAGAGUUGAAGGGUGUUUAUUACCUCUGAAUUGUGAUCCAAGAAAAUAUUUUAAAAAGCACUUGGGGCAGUCUCUCAGAUCUCUCAGAUUCAGACCACUACCCAUCUAGUGUAAUGAAGCGUUUCAUGAUUGGAGAUAAAAAGUUGGCCAGCGAAAAAGACUGCCACUUUAUCAAAAGUGGUCUGCAUCCUAAAUGGCGCCCUAUUCCCUAUAUACUGCACUACUUUUGACCAGGGCCCACACAAUGUAGGAGAUAAGGUGCCA
This 945-nucleotide long non-coding RNA is filed under the name Salmo salar (Atlantic salmon). RNAcentral's name for it is "lncRNA (ENSSSAG00000092210.1, ENSSSAG00020016018.1, ENSSSAG00075023782.1)". The record is from RNAcentral. Lineage: Eukaryota; Metazoa; Chordata; Actinopteri; Salmoniformes; Salmonidae.